UACGUAGGGGGCAAGCGUUGUCCGGAUUUACUGGGCGUAAAGAGCGUGUAGGCGGCCAAACAGGUCCGUUGUGAAAACUGGAGGCUCAACUUCCAGACGUCGACGGAAACCGUGUGGCUAGAGCCCGGAAGAGGAGAGUGGAAUUCCUGGUGUAGCGGUGAAAUGCGCAGAUAUCAGGAAGAACACCAGUGGCGAAGGCGGAUCUCUGGGCCGAUACUGACGCUGAGGAGCGAAAGCGUGGGGAGCGAACAGG
This 253-nucleotide ribosomal RNA is filed under the name uncultured bacterium. RNAcentral describes it as "partial 16S ribosomal RNA". It matches the Rfam family "Bacterial small subunit ribosomal RNA", at positions 524 to 776 of the family's 1533-position model. The record is from RNAcentral.